CUUUACUAAAAGCUUAUUUGUUAACUAAACUAUUUGUAAAAUGAAUAUUCAGCAAGGACAGAUGCUAGUUUAAACUAAAUAUCUUAAUCACCUUAAUCCUAUCCCUCGUAAGUACACACUUAAUUCUGAGCCUCGUUUGCUUACACUUAACGAGUUUUAUUUUACACACCGAGAAAGAAUUUUGUAGGCGCCAACAAUUGUUGUCUAAAACUUCAAGAAGUUAUUGCAUUGCAUGUUUUGUUUUUAAUCGUUUACCAGUUAACUGUGAGAAUUCAGACGCAAACAAAAUUUUAAUUUUCUAAUAUUCAAAUUAAAACGGUAAAAGAUCCACUUCAUCAAAACGGCGUUAACAGACUGUUGAUUUUGAAAUCAACGUAUUAGUGGCUGAGUAUAAAACAAAUCGAUGAUUUAGAAAUAAGAUUACUUGUCCACAAAGUAUGAGCAGUCAGCAUUGUUUUUAUUAAAACAUUGUUUUGUAUCAUUUUCAUUAAAAACAUCAAACAAUUUUGCGCCAACAUCAGAUCGCUACCAGAAUAUGCUAUAUUCAAAGAUGCUGUUAUUUAGAACGUUAGGUAUCACCUGUCUUUUAUUACAAACUUUUUCUGCUAAACCAAUGCAACUAAAAAAUAAAGUAAAUGAAUUUUCUAAAAGUAUUCAUGGGCUAAAAGAAGAAGAGUUACCACAUUCAGAAGUCAAAGAUGACGUGAUCAUGGUCCCUAAUAAUAAAUGGAACAAAUCUAGUUGCGAAGCAUACACGUACCCAACAAAAAUUUAUUUAGAAGAUUGUGAACCUGUAACAGCAGAAAACAAUAUGUGUUAUGGACGAUGUAAUAGCAUUUUUGUUCCUGGUCUUCAAGAACAAUAUUCCACCGCGUGUGUACCGGUUUACGAAAAAAUAGACAUUUUGAUGAGUUGUAAAAUUGGAGAGAAAAGUUUUCAAAAAACUCGAUUUUACUGGAAAAUAGUUUCUUGUUCAUGCCGAAAAGUUAAGCUCGAUGACAAUUUGCUUGAUAAAAAAAAAGAAAACAAAUAGUUUGUAAAAUAUUUAUAGCAAUGAGAAAAUUGACCUAAAAAACCAAAUGUAAAUAUAUUAGUAACAAAAAUGAAACAAUGAGAACUAAAUAACAAUUA
Molecule: long non-coding RNA, 1131 nt
Organism: Hydra vulgaris (swiftwater hydra)
Lineage: Eukaryota; Metazoa; Cnidaria; Hydrozoa; Anthoathecata; Hydridae
Source: RefSeq, a predicted model, not a curated record